UAAGGAAUAUUGGUCAAUGGACGCAAGUCUGAACCAGCCAUGCCGCGUGGAGGAUGAAGGUCCUCUGGAUUGUAAACUUCUUUUAUCUGGGACGAAACACUUCUUUUCUAAGAGGCCUGACGGUACCAGAUGAAUAAGCACCGGCUAACUCCGUGCCAGCAGCCGCGGUAAUACGGAGGGUGCAAGCGUUAUCCGGAUUCACUGGGUUUAAAGGGUGCGUAGGUGGGUAUGUAAGUCAGUGGUGAAAUCCCCGAGCUUAACUUGGGAACUGCCAUUGAUACUAUAUAUCUUGAAUACCGUAGAGGUAAGCGGGAUAUGUCAUGUAGCGGUGAAAUGCUUAGAUAUGACAUGGAACACCAAUUGCGAAGGCAGCUUACUAUGCGGUGAUUGACACUGAGGCACGAAAGCGUGGGUAGCAAACA
Molecule: ribosomal RNA, 422 nt
Filed under: uncultured bacterium
Lineage: Bacteria
Description: bacterial SSU rRNA
Rfam family: Bacterial small subunit ribosomal RNA
Source: RNAcentral